CACACCGCCCGUCGCUACUACCGAUUGAAUGGCUCAGUGAGGCUUCCGGACUGGCCCAGAGGAGUCGGCAACGACACCUCAGGGCCGGAAAGCUAUCCAAACUCGGUCAUUUAGAGGAAGUAAAAGUCGUAACAAGGUCUCCGUAGGUGAACCUGCGGAGGGAUCAUU
This 168-nucleotide ribosomal RNA is filed under the name Microdochium lycopodinum. RNAcentral's name for it is "partial 18S ribosomal RNA". It matches the Rfam family "Eukaryotic small subunit ribosomal RNA", at positions 1665 to 1830 of the family's 1831-position model. The record is from RNAcentral. Lineage: Eukaryota; Fungi; Ascomycota; Sordariomycetes; Xylariales; Microdochiaceae.